Molecule: ribosomal RNA, 920 nt
Filed under: Klebsiella sp. RPWenrichAAB
Lineage: Bacteria; Pseudomonadati; Pseudomonadota; Gammaproteobacteria; Enterobacterales; Enterobacteriaceae
Description: bacterial SSU rRNA
Rfam family: Bacterial small subunit ribosomal RNA
Source: RNAcentral
GCUUGCUCUCCGGUGAUGUGCGUUUGACGGGUGAGUAAUGGGUGGGAAAAUGCCUGGCGGCGGGGGAUAACUACUGGCAAUGGUGCCGUGAACGUAUAAAGNCUCAAGACCAUANNGGGGGACCUUCGGGCCUCAUGCCAUCGGAUGUGCCCAGAUGGGAUUAGGNGNAGGUGGGGUAACGGCUCACCUAGGCGACGAUCCCUAGCUGGUCUGAGAGGAUGACCAGCCACACUGGAACUGAGACACGGUCCAGACUCCUACGGGAGGCAGCAGUGGGGAAUAUUGCACAAUGGGCGCAAGCCUGAUGCAGCCAUGCCGCGUGUGUGAAGAAGGCCUUCGGGUUGUAAAGCACUUUCAGCGGGGAGGAAGGCGAUAAGGUUAAUAACCUUGUCGAUUGACGUUACCCGCAGAAGAAGCACCGGNNAACUCCGUGCCAGCAGCCGCGGUAAUACGGAGGGUGNNAGCGUUAAUCGGAAUUACUGGGCGUAAAGCGCACGCAGGCGGUCUGUCAAGUCGGAUGUGAAAUCCCCGGGCUCAACCUGGGAACUGCAUUCGAAACUGGCAGGCUAGAGUCUUGUAGAGGGGGGUAGAAUUCCAGGUGUAGCGGUGAAAUGCGUAGAGAUCUGGAGGAAUACCGGUGGCGAAGGCGGCCCCCUGGACAAAGACUGACGCUCAGGUGCGAAAGCGUGGGGAGCAAACAGGAUUAGAUACCCUGGUAGUCCACGCCGUAAACGAUGUCGAUUUGGAGGUUGUGCCCUUGAGGCGUGGCUUCCGGAGCUAACGCGUUAAAUCGACCGCCUGGGGAGUACGGCCGCAAGGUUAAAACUCAAAUGAAUUGACGGGGGCCCGCACAAGCGGUGGAGCAUGUGGUUUAAUUCGAUGCAACGCGAAGAACCUUACCUGGUCUUGACAUCCACAGA